This 482-nucleotide ribosomal RNA is filed under the name uncultured bacterium. RNAcentral's name for it is "partial 16S ribosomal RNA". It matches the Rfam family "Bacterial small subunit ribosomal RNA", at positions 30 to 507 of the family's 1533-position model. The record is from RNAcentral.
AUUGAACGCUGGCGGCAUGCUUUACACAUGCAAGUCGAACGGUAACAGGCCGCAAGGUGCUGACGAGUGGCGAACGGGUGAGUAAUGCAUCGGAACGUGCCCAGUCGUGGGGGAUAACUACUCGUAAGAGUAGCUAAUACCGCAUACGAUCUAUGGAUGAAAGCGGGGGACCGUAAGGCCUCGCGCGAUUGGAGCGGCCGAUGUCAGAUUAGGUAGUUGGUGGGGUAAAGGCUCACCAAGCCAACGAUCUGUAGCUGGUCUGAGAGGACGACCAGCCACACUGGGACUGAGACACGGCCCAGACUCCUACGGGAGGCAGCAGUGGGGAAUUUUGGACAAUGGGCGCAAGCCUGAUCCAGCAAUGCCGCGUGCAGGAAGAAGGCCUUCGGGUUGUAAACCGCUUUUGUACGGAACGAAACGGCUCUGGUUAAUACCCGGGGCUAAUGACGGUACCGUAAGAAUAAGCACCGGCUAACUACGUG